UGUCUAGACUUCAACUCCCAGAAUUCCCCCUUAAGUCCUCAGGGAAAAGCCAAGAGGGCGGUGGGAUGCUUUGAGUAAUCACGGUUGCCAAGGAAGAGCGGAAUGAAUGCAACUCGGAUCUUGUUCCCUCCGGAUUUUUUUAAAGAAGGGGACAUGAGGCUUUUCCGGUGUGGAUCACAGCUGUGCGAAAAGGCUGUGGAGGAGUUGAACGGGCAGUUCCUGUUUCCGGCAUAUGCGAGGAGAAAGGGUGAUUUCGGGAGUGCGGGGGAAAAAAAAUAGCCAGGAAAGGUUUUUGUCAUGGCGCUGGGGAAGGUGUCGGUGCGACGUUGGCUUCGAAGUUGCUCUUUCCUGGAGACACGUUUCUUUCGCGAGGCUCCAAGAAUAAAACCCGGCUGCAGCCGUCAACUUUCUUCAGGCCAUGGAGGAAAAAGGGGAGUCGAGGUGUUUGAAAAAUCCAGAAUUUUCAAAAGAGGAUUUAUAUUCUCAGCAUUGUCCUACCUGGGAUACAACACUUAUCUAGUAAUCUCUCGGUCUGCUAUGGUUCGUGCUGAUGUGAAAGUUGGUGAAAUCCUAGAUCAAGCAGACUAUCUCUACGGAAGUGGAGAAACAGAAAAGCUUUAUCAGUUGCUGAGUGAACACAAAAACAGUGAAAAUGCACAAGUGUUAUGGCGUCUGGCACGAGCUUUACGAGACCUUGCUCAGCUUAGUCAAACUUCAGCAGAAAAAAAGAAGCAGCUGGCUUAUGAAGCCCUUGAUUAUGCAGAGAAGGCACUUGAGAAAGACAACACUUGUUAUAGCGUACACAAGUGGUAUGCAAUAUGCCUCAGUGAUGUGGGAGAUUAUGAAGGAAUAAAGAAAAAAAUCUCCAGUGCUUUUGUUAUUAAGGAACAUUUUCAGAAAGCAAUUGAUUUGAAUCCAAAGGAUGCUACUUCACUUCAUCUUAUGGGCAUUUGGUGUUACACAUUUGCUGAUAUGCCAUGGUAUCAGAGGAACAUAGCUGCUAUUUUAUUCUCAACACCACCCAGCUCUACCUAUGAAGAAGCAUUACAGUACUUUCAAAAGGCUGAAAAUGUUGAACCAAAUUUCUAUAGUAAAAACUUGUUGUUCUUGGGAAAGACUUACAUGAAAUUAAAUAAUAAAAAGAUGGCCCUUCUUUGGUUAACAAAAGCUAGAGAUCGACUACCACAUACAGAAGAAGAUAAGCAGGUAAGUUACUUUCACAGCCAGAUAUGUAUAUAGAUAUAGAAAAUACAUUUCAAAUAUUCUUGUGCUAGAACACAUACUGAACACACAUCAGUGCUUUAAUUAGCAUUACACUGUAGCCUAAAGCUUUGUUUCCCGAUCUUGGAAAUAUAUUGUUCCACUUUCAGAACUAACCAGCCAACAUGAUCUUUGCUGAGAGUAAUCAUCUGUGAACUGGACAGCAUCUAAAUUUAAUAAAUUAUUAAUCUAAAGAAAUCUUGGAAAUGUAUAUUGAAAUAAAUCAUAAUUAUGUUAUGAAACGUUAGAUGUUAACAGACUAUCAAAUGAUUAUAGAAAUGUUAGAUCUAGCGUAAUAUGAAUAUUGUUAUAAAGCAUUGUUAAUGUUUUUCAUCGAAACUAAGUUUAAAAAUGGACAGUUGGAAUAGAGGAAUUUCCUGUAGAUUUCUUUCUGUCCCUUUUUCAGGGGAAAAGGAUUGAAAGGAUUUCAUAAAUUUUGAUAACGAUACUCUGGUUGGGUUCCACUGUACUUCUUUGUGAGAAUUUUACCUGGAGCUUGGCUUUUCAGUUUUAAUUUAUAGCAGCACUGAGGUACAAAAAGAAGCUUUGGAAAUACUAAAUUCCAUAUGACAUGUUUACUCAAAAUAUAUGAACUGAUGAACUAAGCAACUAAACAGAAAACUAAACAGUUAUAUUGUGGUUUAAAUUGGUAUAUGGAGAAAAUAAUAAAUUCCAGAUUUUACUGACA
Non-coding RNA from Pantherophis guttatus, 1948 nucleotides. Lineage: Eukaryota; Metazoa; Chordata; Lepidosauria; Squamata; Colubridae. The record is from RefSeq and is a predicted model, not a curated record.